This 203-nucleotide unclassified non-coding RNA is filed under the name Hevea brasiliensis (rubber tree). The record is from RNAcentral. Lineage: Eukaryota; Viridiplantae; Streptophyta; Magnoliopsida; Malpighiales; Euphorbiaceae.
AAAUAAAACAAAUUAGAAUAAAAUAAAAGAAAGCAGAAAAAAGGGAAUGAGAUCCUGCUGUGUUUGUGCAGUCAGAGUCAGAAGGACUAGGUGUAAUUUGAUUAUAAGAUCUGCUUGGCACGGUACAUAAUGUUGUUGAAUGAAUGAAAAGUUACUGAUUCCUUUUAAUAUAAUAAUAAUUAUUAUGUUAAGAAGGAUUCUUG